Molecule: unclassified non-coding RNA, 901 nt
Filed under: Hevea brasiliensis (rubber tree)
Lineage: Eukaryota; Viridiplantae; Streptophyta; Magnoliopsida; Malpighiales; Euphorbiaceae
Source: RNAcentral
AGAGAGAGAGAGAGAGAGAGAAUGUGUUACAAAACUCCACCCUGAUAAAUGUAAUUAGCCGUACUAAUUACGCAUUUACAUCAAUUAUGGCAACACUCUAAAACAAAGCCACUAAAAUCCAUCCACAUGUUACAACCAAAAAAUUCCUUCGAUCCCCAACGAAAGGAACAACAGCCUCAGGUACAUUAGCAUUCAUUCUACUACUGCAAAAGGUUCCCGCCAAAUGCCAAAACCCACCAUCACAGGCUUUGAGUGCAUGUGAUCGAAUUUGAUCUCCUUGAUGCCAUCUGAGAAACCAUUUCCAUGAAGAACAGAAAACACUUCAGUUCAUUUGGACUUCAAAUUUGCCUUUAGUUUUCUCAACUCUUGCCCUUGUUGCUUGUACAAUUUUGUCCAUUCCAAAUCUACUCUUUCUUGCAACAAGCGCCAAUCCAUGGCCAUAUCAUACUCUAUCGUAUUGGGCUGAGAGCAAUGUGAAGUAGAGACUGCUUCUUUCAUCUCCCGUUGCAUUUGGAGUCUAAGUUUAUCGAUAUAGAUAUGACCAAAAAAUGUUGACGGCUUUCCAGGUAAUCUAAGAGUUGCAAUGCUGCCAACCAGAGGCCUCCCAUUUGAUAGCAAAAGGCAACUUUCAUCUAAUUUCGUAAGAGCAAUUUUAGCGGCUUCACUUGUUUUGAAUAUAACAAAAGCUUGACCAGAAUGUGGGCUAGAAAAUGCAGUUCGUUGAAUCAUCUUUGCUGUGCAGUUUUCCUUGAAAGCAUGCCAAACAAUAUCCUCCACUUCUGCCGAAGUAUAAGAAGGAUCCAAAUUUUGAAGCAAGACAAGCCUUCCUUCUGCAUGUGCAUUUUGCAUUCUUUCCUCCCAAGGAGGUCUCUUAAACCAUUUGCUUUUAUCAGCUUCUGGU